GCCAUUGUUUGGAGGAGGGGUAAGGGGUUUGGCUUGGCUUUCCACCACCCCCCUUUUUAAUUUUUCAGUUUCUUAAGAAGUGCUUCAAAAAUACCCAUGUAAAUACAUUUUCUGAAGGAGGAGAGCCACAGGAAACCAGGAAUAAAUGCCUCAUUCAUUCUAUAGAAAACUUGCUGACUUUUGCAGAAAACUUUACAUUCAUGAGCCGAUAAUGACCCUUUCCAGUCACCUGCAAAGUCCUCUAACGUAAUCACAAACUCAUCAAGGUACAAGUUAAAUCACGUAAUAGACAUUGCCCCAGAUACUACACGUCUGUUGGAUCACCAGGGGAGAACUCCAAACAUUAACAGGCUAAGAAAUGUCCCCCAAAGAGGGCAAGGAAUUCUGUGAUGUCAGUGGGAGCUGCAAGUGGAGACCCCAGAACCCAGAGCAGAGAUCAGUAUUUCCAAAUAUUAAAAGAAGAUAUAAACUCAACUGCACUGAAUCGAGGGGAAGCAACAGCCAACUCUUUGCCCUCCAUCGAGGGAACGCACCCGAAACUUCACCGUGUCUGCUGACCACACCAAAUUUAACAAGGUUCACAAAUGAACUGGAGUAAGUUUCCCACAGUGACACAUUAAUAAUAAGUUCCUUAUCCCAUCUAUCCCAAGCCAUGAAUAUGUAAUGUUGUAAAAUGAGUCCUUUUCACACAACAGAACCUCAGACGUGAAUAAAUAAAAACUAUCCAUCACAAGCCUGUGAAAAAUUAAUGAGAGU
Felis catus (domestic cat) is the source of this 756-nucleotide long non-coding RNA. RefSeq lists it as uncharacterized. The transcript is spliced from 5 exons. NCBI's taxonomy places the organism in Eukaryota, Metazoa, Chordata, Mammalia, Carnivora, Felidae. The record is from RefSeq and is a predicted model, not a curated record.